AGCUAAGUAGUAUAGUGGUUUGAAUGUUGGACUAUGACUAGAGACCAGGUUUCAAAUCCCCACUUAGCCA
Molecule: non-coding RNA, 70 nt
Organism: Phrynosoma platyrhinos (Desert horned lizard)
Lineage: Eukaryota; Metazoa; Chordata; Lepidosauria; Squamata; Phrynosomatidae
Source: the annotation of a GenBank genome assembly